UUUGGAAGCUAAGCAGGCUCAACCUGGGUUAAUACUUGGAUGGGAGACCACCAGGAAACACGAGGAAGCCUCCAAGU
Pogona vitticeps (central bearded dragon) is the source of this 77-nucleotide ribosomal RNA. NCBI's taxonomy places the organism in Eukaryota, Metazoa, Chordata, Lepidosauria, Squamata, Agamidae. The record is from Ensembl.